GAUGAACGCUGGCGGCGUGCCUAAUACAUGCAAGUCGAGCGAACGGACGAGAAGCUUGCUUUUCUGAUGUUAGCGGCGGACGGGUGAGUAACACGUGGAUAACCUACCUAUAAGACUGGGAUAACUUCGGGAAACCGGAGCUAAUACCGGAUAAUAUUUUGAACCGCAUGGUUCAAAAGUGAAAGACGGUCUUGCUGUCACUUAUAGAUGGACCCGCGCUGCAUUAGCUAGUUGGUAAGGUAACGGCUUACCAAGGCAACGAUGCAUAGCCGACCUGAGAGGGGGAUCGGCCACACUGGAACUGAGACACGGUCCAGACUCCUACGGGAGGCAGCAGUAGGGAAUCUUCCGCAAUGGGCGAAAGCCUGACGGAGCAACGCCGCGUGAGUGAUGAAGGUCUUCGGAUCGUAAAACUCUGUUAUUAGGGAAGAACAUAUGUGUAAGUAACUGUGCACAUCUUGACGGUACCUAAUCAGAAAGCCACGGCUAACUACGUG
Molecule: ribosomal RNA, 497 nt
Filed under: uncultured bacterium
Lineage: Bacteria
Description: partial 16S ribosomal RNA
Rfam family: Bacterial small subunit ribosomal RNA
Source: RNAcentral